CUAUAGGAUCCCUGAUGCCUUCUUUUGGCCUAUUAUAGGAUGUUGUCUGCUUCUACCUGCUAAAGUGUUAGAAAGUGGAUAGGUUGUAUGUAUGAAUUUCUAAAUAAUUUUGAAAUAGUAGCGGAAGCAAAUCUAGGUUAAACCCUUUAACUCCACAUGCAAUAGAUCAUAUCUAUUAACUACCUAUGCCCGGAUCUAAAACAUACAUAUAAUCUAAAAAUAAAAUAAAUAUUGAGAUCAGAUCUCAAUAUCUUGUGCGGGUCAAA
Molecule: long non-coding RNA, 266 nt
Filed under: Elaeis guineensis (African oil palm)
Lineage: Eukaryota; Viridiplantae; Streptophyta; Magnoliopsida; Arecales; Arecaceae
Description: long non-coding RNA (EGUI_LNC029535)
Source: RNAcentral